CCACUCCCUCUUUGAACCCUAAGCCUCGCAUCUGAAACUGAAUGAAAACCACCCCCCAAGCCAGCUUCGUGCCCUCGUCUCUCUGUCUCUGCUCUCUCGAGCUCGGCGUCGGCAGUGGGAAGCACCUCACCCUCACCUAGUCACUCUCUCAAACUCAGCGUUGGCAGUUCGUCACUCUCUCGGCAUCAGUUCAUCACUCCCUCGACUUCGUCGGUUCGUUAAUCCCUUGGCGUCACUCUGGGUCUCUCACUUCGUCGCUCUCUCGGUCUGUCACCGGGAGUCCGUUACCUUGCGUUCGCUUCGUUGGAACCAGUAAAGCAGCAUCUGCUCCUUCGGGUGGUGGUGGUGGUCGUCUUCUCAACUAGGAAGGACUGCUUUAGUUGCACUGAUUGCAUUCAUGACAACCAACCCAAAUAAUGAUUUGGGCUCAUUAGACUACAAGAAAGAAGAGAGGCGCACAUUGGCAAUUAAAUUCCGUUAUGCAGCUCUAAGGUUUGGGACUGCUGAGUGGCAAAAACUGAUAGAUGAGGUAGAACAAUUCUUAUUGUUUUUUCUCUAGUGCAGUGUUCUGUAAUAUUAGGCAUAUUUUGGAGAUUAAGGAGAGACUUUACAUCUAUCACAAAGAGGUUAGUGAUUAUAAAUUGUUGUACUGAGAUUAAUAACAAUUGUUAUUGGAUUAUUAUUGCAUCGUUAUUGUAAGGUGAUAAUCUUAAUGAAGCAAAUCUGCAACAAGUUUUGGUGGAUUUUGAUGAUUAUUGGUAUUUGGCAAGAUGUCUUAUACUCUUAUUAACCCUUUACCACAACUAAUUUUAUUUUUGAAUGUAUAGGUGCGAUGUCUUAUACUCUUAUUAAGCCUCUACCACAUGUACAUUGGUUGUUAGUGGUUACAUAUUGUGUGUAGUUAACUUAUCUCAUUCAUAAGUUGUAAGCAUGAUUGAAAUAAUUUUUUUGGUGCUAUAAUUUCAAUUGUUUUAAAUAGAAAUAAUUUUUUUCAAGUACACAUGAUUGAAAAAGUAACUACUAAAUCAACAACAAAUUUUUUUCUGUUGAUUUUUAGUCUUAUAUCAUUUUUGGUCAUAUAAAUUUCAGUUUUUGUAGAAUUAAUUUUAUAUUAAAUAAAGAGAAUAAGUGCAAAAAAAGCACAUUAAACUAAUAAGAGUUAACUUAAUAUGAGGAAUUUAGUAUAAUAAGAGUUAACUUAAUAAAAGUCAACUUCAUCUAUACGUUGACUUGUUUUGUUUAUGUAUUCCAAUUACAGUAAAAUAGGACUUUUUUUGUAGCAAAUGGAGCUAGCUUUCUUUCACAAUUGCUUCAGUGCCAUAUGUUCCUAAUUUGCAAUAAACAAGCUUUCCCUUCACAGGUGCUGAGCUUCCAUAUGGUAAAGUGGUUGAAAUAAAAGUUUUCGAACGUUGAGAAGGAAGAAUAGCAAUACCAAAAACAAUCUAUCCUGGCAGAGUCUGAAUUGUAUUACUCUCACGUCUGUGAAACAAUUCUGUUAAUAGUUUCUACUUAGUGUUAGUGUGUAUAUCAAUGUAUAAAACUGAGAUUGAGACAAGUAUAUUCACUCAACUAUAUUGA
Long non-coding RNA from Arachis stenosperma, 1578 nucleotides. RefSeq lists it as uncharacterized. NCBI's taxonomy places the organism in Eukaryota, Viridiplantae, Streptophyta, Magnoliopsida, Fabales, Fabaceae. The transcript is spliced from 3 exons. The record is from RefSeq and is a predicted model, not a curated record.